AUCCUUGUAGCGUAAUGGGUAGCACGUUGGACAUCUAAUCCAAAGGUCAUGGCUUCGAAUCCCAGCUGGGAUG
Trichonephila inaurata madagascariensis is the source of this 73-nucleotide non-coding RNA. NCBI's taxonomy places the organism in Eukaryota, Metazoa, Arthropoda, Arachnida, Araneae, Nephilidae. The record is from the annotation of a GenBank genome assembly.